RNAcentral lists this ribosomal RNA (467 nucleotides) under uncultured bacterium. Its description in RNAcentral is "partial 16S ribosomal RNA". It matches the Rfam family "Bacterial small subunit ribosomal RNA", at positions 28 to 507 of the family's 1533-position model. The record is from RNAcentral.
GAUGAACGCUGGCGGCGUGCUUAACACAUGCAAGUCGAACGGAGAGGCCAGUGCUUGCACUGGUGCUCGAGUGGCGAACGGGUGAGUAACACGUGGGUGAUCUGCCCUGCACUUUGGGAUAAGCCUGGGAAACUGGGUCUAAUACCAGAUAGGACCAUGCUUUGGAUGGUGUGGUGGAAAGUUUUUUCGGUGUGGGAUGAGCUUGCGGCCUAUCAGCUUGUUGGUGGGGUAAUGGCCUACCAAGGCGUCGACGGGUAGCCGGCCUGAGAGGGUGUACGGCCACAUUGGGACUGAGAUACGGCCCAGACUCCUACGGGAGGCAGCAGUGGGGAAUAUUGCACAAUGGGCGCAAGCCUGAUGCAGCGACGCCGCGUGGGGGAUGACGGCCUUCGGGUUGUAAACUCCUUUCGCAACUGACGAAGCUUUUUGUGACGGUAGGUUGAGAAGAAGCACCGGCUAACUACGUG